RNAcentral lists this ribosomal RNA (253 nucleotides) under uncultured bacterium. Its description in RNAcentral is "partial 16S ribosomal RNA". It matches the Rfam family "Bacterial small subunit ribosomal RNA", at positions 524 to 776 of the family's 1533-position model. The record is from RNAcentral.
UACGUAGGGGGCGAGCGUUAUUCGGAAUUAUUGGGCGUAAAGGGCGCGUAGGCGGCUGAACAAGUCAAAGGUGAAAUCCCUCGGCUCAACUGAGGAACUGCCUUUGAAACUGUUCGGCUUGAGGCCGGGAGGGGGUAGCGGAAUUCCCAGUGUAGCGGUGAAAUGCGUAGAUAUUGGGAGGAACACCAGUGGCGAAGGCGGCUACCUGGACCGGUUCUGACGCUGAGGCGCGAAAGCGUGGGUAGCAAACAGG